AACGAACGCUGGCGGCAUGCCUAACACAUGCAAGUCGAACGAGACCUUCGGGUCUAGUGGCGCACGGGUGCGUAACGCGUGGGAACCUGCCCUUAGGUUCGGAAUAACUCCCCGAAAGGGGUGCUAAUACCGGAUAAUGUCUUCGGACCAAAGAUUUAUCGCCUUUGGAUGGGCCCGCGUUGGAUUAGCUAGUUGGUAGGGUAAAAGCCUACCAAGGCGACGAUCCAUAGCUGGUCUGAGAGGAUGAUCAGCCACACUGGGACUGAGACACGGCCCAGACUCCUACGGGAGGCAGCAGUGGGGAAUAGUGGACAAUGGGCGAAAGCCUGAUCCAGCAAUGCCGCGUGAGCGAUGAAGGCCUUAGGGUUGUAAAGCUCUUUUACCCGGGAUGAUAAUGACAGUACCGGGAGAAUAAGCUCCGGCUAACUCCGUG
RNAcentral lists this ribosomal RNA (433 nucleotides) under uncultured bacterium. Its description in RNAcentral is "partial 16S ribosomal RNA". It matches the Rfam family "Bacterial small subunit ribosomal RNA", at positions 29 to 507 of the family's 1533-position model. The record is from RNAcentral.